Molecule: ribosomal RNA, 253 nt
Filed under: Faecalibacterium prausnitzii
Lineage: Bacteria; Bacillati; Bacillota; Clostridia; Eubacteriales; Oscillospiraceae
Also listed under: 1 other name
Description: partial 16S ribosomal RNA
Rfam family: Bacterial small subunit ribosomal RNA
Source: RNAcentral
AACGUAGGUCACAAGCGUUGUCCGGAAUUACUGGGUGUAAAGGGAGCGCAGGCGGGAAGACAAGUUGGGAGUGAAAUCUAUGGGCUCAACCCAUAAACUGCUUUCAAAACUGUUUUUCUUGAGUAGUGCAGAGGUAGGCGGAAUUCCCGGUGUAGCGGUGGAAUGCGUAGAUAUCGGGAGGAACACCAGUGGCGAAGGCGGCCUACUGGGCACCAACUGACGCUGAGGCUCGAAAGUGUGGGUAGCAAACAGG